GGAUGUGGAGGCAAUCUGGCUGUGACAUCUGUCACCCCAUUGAUUACCAGGGUGGAUUCUGCUGAUCCGGCUGGCUGGGUGUUCCCUUCCUCCCUCGCUGUUGCAUGUGGAUCCUCCCAAAGCUGUGUGUCAGUGGGCCUUCCCCAAUAGCUCUUCAGUCAAGGUAUGAGUAGCUGUGCCCCCUGCAGAUAGAACCUCCAAACAAGUUAUCAGAAAUAUCAGCUAGGUGGCGGGCCUGUAGCCUAAUGGCUAAGGAAGCACGUGCUACGUGGCCAAUCAUGGUGUGAGUCCUGGCCCUGGCA
This is an unclassified non-coding RNA of Tupaia belangeri (northern tree shrew), 302 nucleotides long. Its record names the gene 7SK. It matches the Rfam family "7SK RNA". From Rfam's summary of the family: 7SK was discovered as an abundant small nuclear RNA in the mid-70s but a possible function has only recently been suggested. Two independent studies have found that 7SK RNA binds the CDK9/cyclin T complex (known as elongation factor P-TEFb). The record is from Ensembl. NCBI's taxonomy places the organism in Eukaryota, Metazoa, Chordata, Mammalia, Scandentia, Tupaiidae.